GACGAACGCUGGCGGCGUGCCUAAUACAUGCAAGUAGAACGCUGAAGGAGGAGCUUGCUUCUCUGGAUGAGUUGCGAACGGGUGAGUAACGCGUAGGUAACCUGCCUGGUAGCGGGGGAUAACUAUUGGAAACGAUAGCUAAUACCGCAUAAUAGUAGAUGUUGCAUGACAUUUGCUUAAAAGGUGCAAUUGCAUCACUACCAGAUGGACCUGCGUUGUAUUAGCUAGUUGGUGGGGUAACGGCUCACCAAGGCGACGAUACAUAGCCGACCUGAGAGGGUGAUCGGCCACACUGGGACUGAGACACGGCCCAGACUCCUACGGGAGGCAGCAGUAGGGAAUCUUCGGCAAUGGACGGAAGUCUGACCGAGCAACGCCGCGUGAGUGAAGAAGGUUUUCGGAUCGUAAAGCUCUGUUGUAAGAGAAGAACGAGUGUGAGAGUGGCAAGUUCACACUGUGACGGUAUCUUACCAGAAAGGGACGGCUAACUACGUG
Molecule: ribosomal RNA, 495 nt
Filed under: uncultured bacterium
Lineage: Bacteria
Description: partial 16S ribosomal RNA
Rfam family: Bacterial small subunit ribosomal RNA
Source: RNAcentral